CUGUCACUGAGGUGUCCUAUAAUAGGACGAAACGGCCGUCCAGUGCUUGCAG
Molecule: non-coding RNA, 52 nt
Organism: Schistosoma rodhaini
Lineage: Eukaryota; Metazoa; Platyhelminthes; Trematoda; Strigeidida; Schistosomatidae
Source: Rfam